ACGGGUGAGGAAUACAUCGGAAUCUACUUUUUCGUGGGGGAUAACGUAGGGAAACUUACGCUAAUACCGCAUACGACCUACGGGUGAAAGCAGGGGAUCUUCGGACCUUGCGCGAUUGAAUGAGCCGAUGUCGGAUUAGCUAGUUGGCGGGGUAAAGGCCCACCAAGGCGACGAUCCGUAGCUGGUCUGAGAGGAUGAUCAGCCACACUGGAACUGAGACACGGUCCAGACUCCUACGGGAGGCAGCAGUGGGGAAUAUUGGACAAUGGGCGCAAGCCUGAUCCAGCCAUACCGCGUGGGUGAAGAAGGCCUUCGGGUUGUAAAGCCCUUUUGUUGGGAAAGAAAUCCAGCCGGCUAAUACCUGGUUGGGAUGACGGUACCCAAAGAAUAAGCACCGGCUAACUUCGUGCCAGCAGCCGCGGUAAUACGAAGGGUGCAAGCGUUACUCGGAAUUACUGGGCGUAAAGCGUGCGUAGGUGGUUGUUUAAGUCUGUUGUGAAAGCCCUGGGCUCAACCUGGGAACUGCAGUGGAAACUGGACAACUAGAGUGUGGUAGAGGGGUAGCGGAAUUCCCGGUGUAGCAGUGAAAUGCGUAGAGAUCGGGAGGAACAUCCAUGGCGAAAGCUGCUACCUGGACCAACACUGACUCUGAAGGCACGAAAGCGUGGGGGAGCAAACAG
Molecule: ribosomal RNA, 680 nt
Filed under: Stenotrophomonas maltophilia
Lineage: Bacteria; Pseudomonadati; Pseudomonadota; Gammaproteobacteria; Lysobacterales; Lysobacteraceae
Description: bacterial SSU rRNA
Rfam family: Bacterial small subunit ribosomal RNA
Source: RNAcentral